Molecule: transfer RNA, 179 nt
Filed under: Halomicrobium zhouii
Lineage: Archaea; Methanobacteriati; Methanobacteriota; Halobacteria; Halobacteriales; Haloarculaceae
Rfam family: tRNA
About the family: Transfer RNA (tRNA) molecules are approximately 80 nucleotides in length. Their secondary structure includes four short double-helical elements and three loops (D, anti-codon, and T loops). Further hydrogen bonds mediate the characteristic L-shaped molecular structure. tRNAs have two regions of fundamental functional importance: the anti-codon, which is responsible for specific mRNA codon recognition, and the 3' end, to which the tRNAs corresponding amino acid is attached (by aminoacyl-tRNA synthetases). tRNAs cope with the degeneracy of the genetic code in two manners: having more than one tRNA (with a specific anti-codon) for a particular amino acid; and 'wobble' base-pairing, i.e. permitting non-standard base-pairing at the 3rd anti-codon position.
Source: Rfam by way of RNAcentral
GGGGCUGUGGCCUAGUCCGGGAAGGCGGCUGACUCCAGAGGUCACACGCCAGGUGACGAUAUCCAGAGCUGAUAUACCGAGCGUCCGACUGAUCAUCGGCCGCGUUGACGACCCUCUGGAGUACCGAGGCGUGGUACGGAGAUAUCAGCCGAUCGUGGGUUCAAAUCCCUCCGGCCCCA